Oryctolagus cuniculus (rabbit) is the source of this 30136-nucleotide non-coding RNA. Lineage: Eukaryota; Metazoa; Chordata; Mammalia; Lagomorpha; Leporidae. The record is from RefSeq and is a predicted model, not a curated record.
UCCUUCCAGGGGUGCGGGCCAUGGCUGGGCACACUUGGCGCCUCCCGCCGCGCUGCGCGAGAAACCGUUAAAGAAAGGGGAUGGCAAGAGAUAUGGAAGAAGUUGUAAUAGAGAGAGGAAUGGGGAAUGGCAGGUUUUUUUAUUUUAUUUUAUUUUUUUUAAGAAGAGUUGUGGCUUCAUGCUGAUACUGUGCGUGAGCUAACGCCAGCCCUGUUUUUCCUGAAGGUGGAUUCUCAGUAUUUGGAAGGGGUAGGUGGGGUGGGCGCGGGUUCCUUUGGUUCUACGGCACCGAACUUCUUGUGAGUUCCAGUUUGGGAGCUGGGACGCAGAUGUCCUAGCCGGGUCACCUCUUUAUUUUGGGGUCCCUUCCCCCCUCCAGUUCACAAAGUGUCACAAAGCUGGGGUCCCCUCUACCGCCUCAGCCGGUUGCCUUUAGCCAGGACUGAUCUGCACUUUGGGCAAUCCCUGCAGCCACGGUCGCUUGUCCUGAAGGGGUUGUGUGACACGUUUCGGGGAACCCAAGAUGUGCCGGCCGCUGCCAGGCCACAGAAGUGUCAGGUUCGCCGGCUGGCAAGUCGGAGCAGGUGUGGAUCGGCAUUCAGAAGGAAGCGAGGUGACGGGGAGUUGUGACUCAACAGGCUGUCGGAAAAAAAAAAUCAAUGGGAUGAUUUUAUCCAGGGCUGGAGCAGAAGAGCCACACCCGUUCUGAUCUUCCUGGCUUUGAUGGAAGGCUUCACCCAUCGUUAGUCACCCGCUCCACCGUGGGUCUUAACCGGCGGCCGCUUUCCGAGAUCCUACCUUCCCAAGGAUGAACACCCACAGGGGAUUGCUUUGAGCUUCCAUUGGCAGCCUGGUCCCCAGCCUUGAGGUUAAGCCCAGGGCAUUGUGCACCUGACUUUCAUGCUGCAUCCAGAGACCAUUAAGGUGCUUGGAGCAAUGGGACUAGGUUUUUUGUUUGUUUGUUUGUUUGUUUUUUUCUUCUUUUAAAGAUUUAUUUGAGAGGCAGAAUUACAGAUAGAGGAAGAGACAGAGAGGUCUUCCAUCCACUGGUUCACUCCCCAGUUGCCUGCAAUGGCUGGAGCUGGACCGAUCUGAAGCCAGGAGCUUCUUCCGGCUUUCCCAUGUGGGUGCAGGGGCCCAAGGACUUGGGCCAGCUUCCACUGCUUUCCCAGGCCAUAGCUGAGAGCUGGAUCGGAAGAGGAGCAGCCAUGACACAAACUGGUGCCCAUAUGGGAUGCCGGCGCCACAGGCGGUGGCUUUAUCAACUACACCACAGUGCCAGCUUCAGGACUAGGUUUUGAGAUCCAGGCACAGUUCGCAAGUGGGGUUGGGAGAGGAGCAUGGGUGGCUGGGGCUUUGGGAGGCCGUGGGCAUCUCCUGGAGUCCUGGGCCCUGUAGGGCUGAUCCUGUGUUCUGCUUCAUAGAUUUUCUCUUUUUCUGCCGGUGCAGUUGCAUGCGUGUCGUUUGUCAGAAUCCUCUGGAAACCAGUGAGUCUAGUUUUGGCUCCGUGACACUCUGUCGUGUUUGCUUUAAGGACUAAUCAGGUGCCGAUCUUCCAUUUACAGCUGGGGUUGGCUGGGACCUGCCGCCUGGCCCAGCUGCUUCUCCUAAGUCGCUGGCUGGGGGCAGGAGGCUGUAGGUUUCCCAAGUCCCAGUCGGGGGCGGAAGGUGGUAGGAGGCAGAAGCCAGUUCUACAGGCACAUCAGGGUCUGGAGGGUUGCCCUGAGGUUCCCGGGCACCGGCCUUGUCCGGCCAGCUGUCGUCUGGGCAGGCCAGCUUGCACUGGCCCCUGGUGGUGCCCGGGGACCAUGAUUCAUGAAGAAAAUGAAAGGCCUUCGUGGAGAGCUGCUGUCUGAGAUGAGGAUUGCUUGCAGGUGGGGAAUUCUGAGUCUCCAGAAAGUUGGGCCCAGCCGUCUCUGCAGCGCCUGUACACACGGCCGUGUUGCCCGCCACGUGCCGAGACCCCAGAUGUGAAUCGGAGGAGCGGCUGAAGUUAGGAACCGGAGGGAAGUGAGGCCUGGUGCCUGCAGUCCACGCAGCAGGUUCUCAGGGAAUGGAACGUGUACAGCCUGGAUGCACUCUUAGGACUUUCUGGAUCCUAACAGGUUUUAUUUUUUACCCCCAAAUUAUGAGUUUUUUUGUUUUGUUUUUAAUUUGAGAGGCAGGGAGAGAAAGCUCUGUUUCACUCUUCACAUGGCCAGGGCCAGGCCAGGCCAGUGCUGGGAGCCAGCACUUCGUCCGGGUCUCCCACGUGGGUGGCAGGGCUCCAAGUACUUGAGCCAUCAGCUGCUGCCUUCCAGGGUGCACUUGAGCAGGGAAUUGGGGUUGGGAUUAGAGCUGAAACUGAAAUCCAGACUCUGUGAGUGCUGGCAUUAACUACUAUGCCAAAUGCCUGCCCUGUUUUUUAUUUAAAGGGCAUUUUUUUUUUAAAGAUUGAUUGAUUUGAAAAGCAUGGUUGCAGAGAGAGAGAGAGAGAUAGAUAGAGAUGUCUUCCUUCUGCUGAUUCACUCACUCCUCAAACAGCCAGGGCUAGACCAGGCCAUAGCUUGGAGCCAGGCACUCCAUCUGAGUCUCCCACGUGGGUGCAGGGGCCCAGGUUCUUGGGCCACUUUUCACUGCUUUCCCAAGCACAUUAGCAGGGAGCUGGAUCAGAAGUGUAGCAGCUGGGACUCCAACCAGCACCUGUAUGGGAUGCCAGCAUUGCAGAUGACGGCUUAGCCCACUGGGCCACAAUGCUGGCCCCAGGACGGUUUGUUAGAGUGCUUUCAAGUUCACAGGAAAAUUGCGUGGAGAAUGUGGAGAUUCCCGCAUAACCUCUGCCCAGCAGAAGUGUGUGUGUGUUGCCGUGGAUGAACCUGGACUGUUACAGCACUGCCCCCCAGAGUCUGUGGUUCUCAUUAGGGUUCACUCUUGGGGUCGCACCAGCUGUUGGACUUCCAGACUCCCCGGUUGAGGGGCCAGCGCUGUGGCACAGCGGGUAAAACCGCCACCGCGAUGCCUGCAUCCCAUAUGGGCGCCGGUUCAACUCCUGGUUGAUCCACUUUUGAUCCAGCUUCCUGCUAAUGCACCUGGGAAAGCAGCGGAGGGUGGUCCAAGUCCUUAGGCCCCCGUACCCUUGUGAGAGACCUGGGUGAAGCUCCUGACUUUGGCCCAGCCCAGCCGUGACUGCUGGAAACAUUUAGGGAGUAAACCAGUGGAUGGAAGAUCUCUCCUUCCCCGUCUCUCUCUGUAACUCUGCCUUUCAAAUAAGUAAGUAAAUCUUCAGACAACCAAACUGCUGAUCGAUUUAGCCCUGGGAGCCUUUAAGCUCUGUGCCCUGCCGUAGGAGAAAGAGGGAUCCCGUGCAGGCUUGGCCAUCUGUCCCUGGGCUGUUUACUGAUGUUCUGUGGAUGGCCAUGGAGCCUGCUGGCUUGAAAAGGAGAAGUGUGGAAAAAUCGCGAUGUGGGGAGGGGGCCGAGGUCACGCUGAUGCUCAGGUGGACGCGCUGGCUUGCCCCUGAUGGCUGCACACUGGGGGAGUGGGCUGGCGCUUCUCUUUCAGAGCUGAGAGCCCCUUAUGUUUGAGGGGAGGAGCUGAGCUCACCCCACGCUGCUGUGUUCCGGGCAUGGUGACAAGGUGCUUGGUGCAAGGCCCUUCGUGAGCUCCUCAUCAGCUGUCUGUGUGCCAAUAAGGAUGCACCAAGGAAGUGAGAGUGCAGGGCCGCAGGGCCGGCGUGGACAAGGAGCCGUUCUUCCUUCCCGCACGUGGUUGUCCUGCUGCGUUCUCCCCACCAGACAGGCCGGUCCAGGGGUCCUUCCGGCUCCAAACUCCCAGGGUCAGCCUGAGGGGUCAGAGCACGUGGCCACGAGCCCUGCCCUGUGCAACCGCUGCUUCCCUGCUGUGCCGCAUGGGCUGUGUAGUGUCAGUGAUCCUUGCUGUCUCGAAGCUUACAGAUUGAUGGGCGACAGGGAAAUCCGUGUGUGUCAGAUGGGAACGAGAUAGGAGAGCUUGGAAGCAGCAGCGGCACUGGAGAGCGCCCUCCCAUCAGCAGAGCGUCCAGUGGAGUGUGUGUGUGUGUGUGGUGACAGCAGAGUCUUUGGAGGGCACCCACGUCUGCCAUCUGUGACUCUGCAUCAAGUCCUUUCUUUUUAAUGAUAAAAUAUAAAUAACAUGAAAUUUAUUGUCUAAAGGUGGUUUGACCAUUUUGGUUUUUUAGAGAUUUAUUUAUUUAUUUGUAAGGCAGAGUCAGAGAGAGAGAGAAAUCUUCCAUCCACUGGUUCACUGGCCAGUUGGCUGCAAUGGCCAGGGCUGGGCCAGGCCCAAGCCAGGAGCCAGGAGCUUCUUCCUGUAUGGGGUUGCAGGGGCCCAAGGGCUUGGGCCAUCUUCUGCUGCUUUCCCAGGUGCACCAGCAGGGAGCUGGGUUGGAAGUGGGGCAGCUGGGACUUGAACCAGCACCUUUAUGGGAUGCCAGCACUGCAGGCACUGGACUCAGUGCAGGUGCAUUCCUGGUCCCCCAGCAGAGCCUGUCUCAGCCUUCUGUGUCGCACACAGGGAAGAUCUCUCCUGCCUUUCACAGCCUGUGGGCUGGGUUUCAGAGGUCGCACACUCACUCAAAAGUGUCUUAAGGGCACUGGCGCUGUGGCAAAGCGGGUAAAGCUUCUGCCUGCCAUGCCGGCAUCCCAUAUGAACACCAGUUUGAGUCCUGGCUGCUCCGCUUCCGAUCCAGUUGCCCGCUGACAGUGUGCAAGGGAAAGCAGCAGAGGAUGGCCCGAGUGCUUGGGCCCUCGCAGCCAGGUGGGAGACCCCAUCUCCUCCUAAUCUCCUCCCGGUAUUUCAGCUUUUCCUUACAGAACACUAGGACGAGCCCUAGGUCCUUUCCUCCUUUAGCUCCAAGCCCUGUGAACCCCUCCCCCCUUAUGCAGGUGCCCCUUAGGUCUCGUGUCUCUCCGUGAACUCCCGUGCGUCACUGCCCGUUGUCGCGUCUUCAUUAAGCCACUAAUUGGCCCGAUGUGUUGGCGCCGGAAUGAUCACUGCCUUGUUUUUUGUUCCCCCUGGAGUGGUUGACUGGACCCACAACUGGUUUGAGUAACCUGGGGGCAGGGAAAGGUCACUCGCGGGCACCUCUUGAGACCGGAGCCUUGAGUUCCCCGGGUGGAGAGUGGGCAGCUCCAGAAUCUGGGGCUGCUAAAGCCAUCAGCAGGAUGGAAACGGAGCCCAGUGCAGAUUUUACUAGGGUUGUCUGGCUCAGGACGGCUGACUUGUUUUGGGAACAGAACGAAGCAUUCCGGAACAUUUCACUAAGGAAGGAGAAGGGAGUGUUGUUGACCCGAGUGUGUCCAAGGGAACAUGCCUGCCCUGUGACUCUCUGCCUUCAUUUGUCGCUUCUGGCUUUGGGAGCCGCCUCCCUCCCUUGCUCAGGAGUCUCGUGUGACUGACGUGACUGCUGUCCCCGCCAGGACAGGGUGCAGGUGAGUCGCGCGCAGAACCCACCCGGGAGAGAGCACGGCGGCUCCAGGCCUGGGCCGCUGCUCCCUCUGUGGUUUGAGUUUGCGGAGGCUCACUGGGCCUCUUGAGCCUGCUUAGGUUGCCGAACAGUAGGUCUGAAUUUUGGCUAAAGCUGCUACUUUCUGGGUCAAGGCUGGGGGUAGGGAAUGUGUGUUAAAUGAACUAUGAACCCCUUGGGAGUCCUCAGCUCUGGCUGGAAUGCAACCACUGUGGCUCAGUUAGGGUUUUUUUUUUUCCCCUUGGAAAAAUGUUGUUUUUUCAUUAAAAUAUGUUGUUUAUGUAGCAUGCAUGGGUUUAUUGUUGACAUUUUAUUGCAGAAUGUAUACAACAUAUGCAUGAGUUUUUAAAAGACUUAUUUGCAUAUUUGAAAGGCAGAGUUAGAGAGAAGGAGGGAAGGGCCCAGCAGAAGCCAGGAGCCAGGAGCUCCAUCCAGACCUCCUGGCUUGGAAGUGGAGCAGCUAGGACUUGAACCAGCACUCACAUGGGAUGCUGGCAUGCAGACAGCGGCUCAGCCCACUACAUCACAGUGCCAGCUCCAAGACUUACGUAGUCAUUGAUUUGAAUGGCAGAGUGGGAGAGACAGAUCUUUGAUCUACUGGUUCACUCCCCAAUGGCUGCAACAGACAGGGCUGGGCCACGCCAAAACCAGGGGACAGGAACUCAAUCCAGGUCUCCCACAAGGGUGUCUGGGAGAUCUGGGCCACUGUCUGCUGUUUUCUCAAGCACAUUAGCUGAUUACUGUUGGAGCUGAUCCAACAGUAGAGCAGCUAGGGCUCGAACUGUCACUCUGAUGUGGGAUGCUGGAGCUGCACGUGGCAGCUUAACCGCUGCACCACUGUUCUGCCUCCCUUUUGUACCAUUGUGAUCAUUAAACUUAUUUAUGCAAGGGGCCGGCACUGCGGCAUUGUGAAAGCCAGUGCUGCAGUGUGGAGUGCUGGCAUCCCAUAUGGGUGCUGGUUCAAGACCCGGCUGGUCCCCUUCCAAUCCAGCUCCCUGCUAUGGCCUGGGAAAGCAGUAAAAGAUGGCCCAAGUGCUUGGGUCCCUGCACCCGUGUGGGAGGCCCGGAAGAAGUCCAGGCUCCUGGCUUUGGAUUGGCCCAGCUCCGGCUGUUGCAGCCAAUUGGGGGGUGAACCAGUGGAUGGAAGACCCCCCCCUUUCUCUCUUUGCCUUUUCUUCUCUCUGUGUGUAAUUCUGACUUUCAAAUAAAUGAAUACAUCUUUUUUAAAAAUUAUUUAUGUGUUUAUUUUAGAGACAGCCACGUUCCCUUGGUUCACUCCCUAAAUGCCCACGACAGCCAGGGUUGGGCCAGGCCAAAGUCAGGAUCCAGGAGUUGGAAUCUCAAUCCAGGUCUUGGUGAAUAGCUGGGACCCAACUGCUUGAGCCAUCACUGCUGCCUCCCAGGGUGCACAUUAGCAGGAAGCCAGAGCAGGAGCAGAGCUGGGAAUGGAAACCAGGUGCCCUGAUGUGGGAUGCGCUGGGCCAAAUGUCUGCCCUUAGUUAUUUCUUUUUAAAUAUUGCUUUAUUUGAAAGGCAGAGAGACAUGUUUUUCAUCCACUGGGUCAGUCCCCAAACGGCUGCAACAGUCAGUGCUGGGCCAGGCUGGAACCAGGAGCCCGGAACUCCAUCCAAGGUCUCCCCCUGGGUGCAGAGGCCUAAGCACUUGGACCAUCUUCUGCUGCUUUCCCAGGCGCAUUAGCAGGGAGCUGGAUCACAAGCAGAGCAGCCGGGACUUGGAACUGGUGCUGUGAUGCGGGAUGCUGGCAUGGCAGGCGGCAGGUUAACCUGUUGCACCACAGCGCUAGACAGCCCUAAUUACUUCAGUGUACAGUUUAAGACCUUAAAUACAAGAGUACUUCAGGAAGUUCUUGGGAAAAUGGAAUUAAAAGAUAAAGUUCGUUUGAGGCCCAAGGAAAGUUUUAAAUUCAUGCAUGAUUAUUUUUAUAAUAUGCAUUUUUCAUAAAUGUUUUGAAGACCCUUGGUGUGUAGCUCAUAUGUUGUGCAAAUGUCUCUACUACCCAUCACUGGGACUUUGAUUUUCCCAGACUGAAGCUCCGUACUCAGAAAACACUCUGUCCCCAUGUCCUCCAACCCCUGGUGUCCGCCAUGUUUUCUGCACAGACUCCCUUAUCCUGGGUGCUUCGUGUAGGUGGAGCCCUUUAAUAUCUGUCCUGUGUCUGGCUUAUUUCACUCAAGUUGGGCUCUUUCCAGUUCCCCGGAAUCAUGCUGUCGUCAUCCUUAAUUCCCUACCUCUGAUCUUUUUUUUUUUUUUUUAAAGAUUUAUUUAUUUACUUGAGAGGCAAAGUUACAGAGAGAGGUCUUCCAUCUGCUGGUUCGCUCCCCAAAUGGCUGCAACAGCCAGAGCUGGGCUGAUCCAAAGCCAGGAGCCAGGAGCUUCUUCCGGGUCUCCCAUGUGGGUGCAGGGGCCCAAGCGCUUGGGUCAUCUUCUGCUGCUUUCCCAGGCCACAGCAGAGAGCUGGACUGGAAGUGGAACAGCCGGGACUCUAACCGGUGCCCAUAUGGGAUGCCAGCGUUUCAGGCCAGGGCUUUAACCUGCUGCUCCACAGUGCCCCCCCCCCACCCAUUGUCUUUUAAUAAGGACAUCUGUCAGAUUAGCUUAGGGCCUACACCGGUGACCUAUUUUAACUUAAGUCACCUCUUGAAAGACUUUUCCUUCAAAGGCACGGGGAGUCAGGACUUUGACAUGGGAAAGUUGGUUCCACCCUUGACGCUCAGUGAAUCCCUUGUUGGGCAGUGGAGGAGGGAGCUGCCAUAGCAGAGAGACGGUGCUUGCGCUGGCCAUCCCCACCUAUGUUUUAGGACAGAUUUCGUGAGAGCGUCCGGUGAGGUUAGGCAACUUAGCCACGACCUAGGGCUCCAUGGUCUGCCUUUUCUCUCAUUUAAAAAGUUAGGAUUGGGUCAGGUCAUUUCUUUUAAAUUUAAAAAAUUCUUUUCAAUACAAUGUUUUCCAUAAUCCUGAUCCUGGUUCCUGUUUCUUUCUUUUUUUUUUUUUUAAUGUUUUUUAAAGUUAUUUGUUUGAAAGACAGAGUUAGAGAAUUGGAGAAAGAGAGAUCGUCCAUCUGCUGGUUCACUCCCCAGACAGCUACAGUGGCCAGGGCUGGGCCAGGCUGAAGCCAGAGCCUGGAACUCCAUCCAGGGGUCUCCCCUGUGGGUGGCAGGGCCCAGGUACAUGAUCAUCUUCCACUGCUUUUUCUAGGCACAUUAGCAAGUAGCUGGAUCAGAAGUGGAACAGCUGGGACUCAAACUGGUGCCCCAUGGGAUGCCGGUGCUGCCGGUGGAGGCUUUAGCCAGUGCACCACAACACCAGCCCCUUCUGCCUUUCUUUAUUUUAUUUCUUUAUUUUUUUUGACAGGCAGAGUGGACAGUGAAAGAGAGAGACAGAGAGAAAGGUCUUCCUUUGCCAUUGGUUCACCCUCCAAUGGCCACUGCGGCCGGCGCGCUGCGGCUGGCGCACCGCGCUGAUCCGAUGGCAGGAGCCAGGUGCUUCUCCUGGUCUCCCAUGGGGUGCAGGGCCCAAGCACUUGGGCCAUCCUCCACUGCCCUCCCGGGCCACAGCAGAGAGCUGGCCUGGAAGAGGGGCAACCGGGACGGAAUCCGGCGCCCCGACCGGGACUAGAACCUGGUGUGCCGGCACCGCAAGGCGGAGGAUUAGCCUAGUGAGCCGCGGCGCUGGCCCUGCCUUUUUUUUUUUUUUUUUUUUGACAGGCAGAGUGGACAGUGAGAGAGAGAGACAGAGAGAAAGGUCUUCCUUUUUGCCGUUGAUUCACCCUCCAAUGGCCGCCGUGGCCGGUGCGCUGCGGCCGGCGCACCGCGCUGAUCCAAUGGCAGGAGCCAGGAGCCAGGUGCUUUUCCUGGUCUCCCAUGGGGUGCAGGGCCCAAGCACCUGGGCCAUCCUCCACUGCACUCCCUGGCCACAGCAGAGAGCUGGCCUGGAAGAGGGGCAACCGGGACAGAAUCCGGCGCCCCAACCGGGACUAGAACCCGGUGUGCCGGUGCCGCUAGGCGGAGGAUUAGCCUAGUGAGCCGCGGCGCCGGCCUAGUCCUGCCUUUCUUUAACCACCUGUGCCUCUUCAAUCCCUCAGGCAUACCUGGACACAUACCCUGCAGAUGUCUCCAUGCAGGUUUGCUGUUGGUCUUUUGUCUUUUAAAAGCCAACAAAUGAAAACAAAACCCAGUAGUGCCAACGCAUCUUCCCCUAGCUGUGUGUCUUCCUUGAGCUGGAUGAGUGCAGCUGUUUCCUGUUAAUCCUCUGUCUGUCUGGCUUCCUUCUUCAGGGUAGUGAGAUCCUGAAGACAAGGACAGAAUCUGUCCCCCGGGACCUGCCACACACCCUGGGCCCUUCCCCACUGUUUUUUUUUUUUUUUUUUUUUUAAUGAUUUUUUAAAAAAUUUAUUUGAAAGGUAGAGUUACAGAGAGAGGGAGAGACAGAGAGAGAGGUUGUCCAUCUGCCGGUUCACUCCCCAAAUGGCAGCAACUGCUGUAGCUGAGCCAAUCUGAAGCCAGGAGCCGGGAGCCUCUUCCGGAUCUCCCAUGGUACAGGGGCCCAAGCACUUGGGCCAUCUUCCACUGCACUCCUGGGCCACAGCAGAGAGCUGGACAGGAAGAGGAGCGACUGGGACUAGAACCGCGUGUGCCGGCGCCGCAGGUAGAGGAUUAGCCUAGUGAGCCACGGCACCGGCUCUCUCUGCCUUUCAAAUAAAUAAAUCUUUAAAAAAAAAAAAAAAUGCACGCCCCAGAGGUUAGCUAAUGAUGCUCAAAGAAAGAACAGCUCCAAGGUCACGGAUGCAGUCGCCAGCCUGGGCCUGGGCUUGGGCUGGGGAGACUGGGGCACCCCACUCUGUGUCAUAAACACGUCAUUUGUUCACAGAGGCCAUGAGACAUUCCUGGGCCCUCAAAACCAUCUUGUGAAGUGGCUCUAGUGAGAUAAUUAUCAAAAUUACAGGUCGCCCUCUGGUCGUGGCCGAGGGGGUGCAUGAGACCGACACACAGACCUGGAAUGACCCAGGUCGAGGUCAAGGCGACCGCAGAGUGGCCAGCACUGGCCUCCGUCCUCAGACUUGAGCAGCGAUGUUUGUGGCAGGAGAAGGGACACAGAGUGACUCCCUGGUGGGGUAUGGGUCAGUCUAGAUCGGUCGCUUGGCAGACAUGUCCUGUGCACCUGCUGUUUCGGGCAGGGCAGGUGCUGAGUAGCAUGAGCUGGGUCCUCGCUGCAGGUCCCUUUCAGUCUGGUGGGAAAGCAGUCACUGAACUGCAGCAGAAGUCACCCGGCCCCUCACUCCAGGCCGUUCUUUCGAGUUGUCAGUCAUCUAGGGACUUGAUUUCCCCUCUCUUAUUUUAUUUAUUUGAAUUGCAGAGUUGGAGAGGGAGAAGGAGAGAGAGAGAGAGAAAGAGAGAGAUCGGUCAAUCUUCCAUCUGCUGGUUCAGUCCCCCAAAGGCCGCACGACUAGGGCUGGACCUGGCCAUAAGCCAGGAGCCAGGAGCUUCUUCUGGGUCUCCCACAUGGGUGCAGGGGCCCAAGCACUUGGGCCAUCUUCUGCUGCUUUCCCAGGUACAUUAGCAGGGAGCUGGAUAAGAAGUGGAGCAGCCAGGACUGAACCGGCACCCAUAUGGAAUGCCAGCACUGCAGGCAGAGGCUUCAACCUGCUGCGCCACGGCUCUGGACCCUGGUUUCCCCUCUUAUUUUGCACAUUUCCAGGACUCUGGAUGAUAGCGUCUUCCAGAGCUCGUCCCUGGGAUGCCUCCAGCAACGAGCGUGGGGAGGGGUCUUCAGGAAGAUAGAACUGUGUGUCCUUCCACUCUUGUCAUUCAUCGGUCAAGGGCUGUUCCCUAGAAUUUAUGGGCUAGGGGCUUGGUCCUGGUGUGGCAAUGUUGAGCGGUGCUGGACCCUUUAAGAGGUAGGGUCUCACGGAAGAGGACUAGGUCUUGGGGGCUCCACCAUCUGUAGGGAUUCCCACAGAAGUGGGUUGUUAGCAGUGCGCCUGGUACCUCCCUGAAUCUCUGGCUUCUUGCUCCACCACUGCCCCUUCUGCACAGUCUGUUCACAUCCUGCUUCUCAGCUGGCUGCAUGCUGUUUCUUUCUUUUUUAAAGAUUUGUUUUAUUUAUUUAUUUUUUAUUAUUAUUUUAUUUAUUUAUUUGACAGGUAGAGUUAUAGACAGAGAGAGACAGAGAGAAAGGUCUUCCUUCUGUUGGUUCACUCCCCAAAUAGCCACAGCGGCUGGAGCUGCUCCGAUCCGAAGCCAGGAGCCAGGAGCUUCUUCCCAGUCUCCCAUGUGGGUGCAGGGCCCAAGCACUUGGGCCACCCUCCACUGCCUUCCUGGGCCACAACAGAGAGCUGGACUGGAAGAGGAGCAACUGGGAUUAGAACCAGCACCCAUAUGGGAUGCUGGCACCACAGGUGGAGGAUUAACCAAAUGAGCCAUGGCUCCAGACUUAUUUAUUUAUUUGAGAGGUAGAGUUAUAGACAGUGAGAGGGAGAGACAGAGAGAAAGGUGCAUACUGUUUCGACUUUGCCAGCACCAGAAUCAGGAGCUGAGACGUCUCGGCCUGAGCUGAGACAGGCUGCAAAUGCCAUCAGUUGUCCCCAGCAUGAGCAGGUUCUGGGAGGUGCAGGGGGACGAGGCCUGGCUAGAUGCAGAGCUGGCUGGCCGUGUGCACAGAGGCUGGGAGCGCAGCCCAGGGAGCACAAGGAAGGAGCCGAGGAGACUGCCAGGGGACGCUGAGAGAAGAGGAACCGCAGUGCAUCAGCCACAGUGGGAGGCAACCAGGCAGAGCCAGGAGUGAGCGGCCCGGGGGGUUGAGGGCUGGGGGGUGGUCCCUCCACUCAAGUGUGUCUGGAGAUGCACUUUGCUCUGUUGCACUGCGGUUGUCCAUCGGCGUGCGGUGCAGUGCGGCGGGAGGAGCUUCUGUGUGCAUCACAGUGGGCGCCGUCUGUUGGACCUAGUUCCCGGGAAAAGACAGACCUUGAAGGUGGAAGAUCCGCACCCACCCCCUUUUGGGAACCCUGGCUCUUGCUGCCGUGUGGCCUCAUGCAGGGGUGUCGUUCCCCCUUGGCCUUUGUCGGCUGGAGAGGAUGACCCCCCACACUGCAACCUCUCAUCUGUUGGGGGGCUAUAUAUGAGAGGCAGGUGCAGGCUCUUGUCUGGUUCUGCGGAGUCUCCCCCAACACACGUCUGGCAUGAUUGAAUGCUACUUAGCAAGAGGUGGUUAGGAGGAGGGCGUGGUUAAGUGGGGACAGAUCAUCUCAGCUGCUCAGCUCAGCCCAAGGUGGGUCUCCGGGGCCUGGGGGGAGGGGGUGGUUCUGCUGUGGACUUCAUCUCCCUCUAUUUUCUUCUGCUUCUCAUGGCUUCCCAGGGCAGGCGGACUGUCUACCCUACUCCAACAAGGGAAUGAUUCUAGGAAGUGGAAUUUGGUGUGUGUGGGGGGCAGUAAUGAGUGAGAUUAGUGCCCAGAGAGCUCCCUCCACCCCCUCUGCCACUCCAGGACACAAUUAGGAGACACCACCUAGGAACCAAGAGGGAGACCCUCAGCAGCCACGCAGGCCGCCGAUGCUUUGCUCUUGGGACUUCCCAGCCUCCCAGAGCUGUAAGCAAUAAAGUUCUAAGCUGGUUAUGGGCACCUCGUCUAUGGAUUUUCCCAAAGCAAUCCAAAGGGACCAGGCAAGGUGUGCCGUACGUGUUUUCCUGCGUUGUGGCCCCUGAACGACAGCAGCCAUAUCUCCUGAUGUCAGAGCCAUGGCCGGAUCCGCCCAAGGCACUUGAGGCCACGCACUGGUGAGCAGCCUGGGGGCAGGAUGGCCUUGGUCCUCCUCAGGGAAUCCUUGUGGUUCCUCUGGGCCUUGUGGCUCUGGGGGGGAGGGUGGAGAAGAAGAGAGGCUUCUGGGUUUUUCUUACAAAGGUUGCCAAAGGAAGGCUUUGAACCACAUUGCUGUCCUGGUUAAUGACCCAGAGAGGAAGUAAAAACCACAGUGUCUCUUCCUUUAGUAGGAAAGGAGGGAGGAAGAGGAGAGGGAGCAUUGCUAAGGUGUGGACCCAUCCCGGCCUCUUGCACCCAGAAUGAGGUUUCCACACUGGUGCUCGUGUCGGGACGUCACUGCUUUCUGUGGCUGAGUGAUACUCAGGAGAGCGGUUUUGCACAGGUGGCUGGGCCUGCCCUGGUUACCUUCUGGGUUACCUUGGGGUGCCCGCAGGUCCAGGGUGAGGGGAGACCCAGUCAAGCGUGUCUUGGGGCCAUGUGGCCUGAGGGCCGUGAGUGGACGCUCCAGUGGGAGUGGUGGGGCCACCUCUUCACCUGGGCUUUGGGGAGAGCCCCAGGGCCAUGGGAAGCUGGGACCCAAGUGGUGGCUAAGACUUUGUGGGGUGGUUGAGCCGGUUUCCUUUUGUAGCCUGCAGCCGGGUGACUCCCACCCCAAGGCCCAACCUGCAGAACCUGCCCAUCCAGGGGCCUGCAGGGCUGUGGUCUUCCAGAGCCCUUUAAAAAUGUUUUGAUCGACACCUGAUACUUGGACCUUGUCUAUGAGGUGUAUAAUGUGUUGUUCUGAUUCACGCUGGGUAAUGACCGGAGAAGGGUCAUUAGCAUGUCCAUUACCUUAAACUUUUCUUAUUAAAGAUUUAUUUGUGUAUCUGAAAGAGAGAGAGAGAGAGAGAGAGAGAGAGAGAGAGAGAGGAUCUAUCUUCCAUCUGCUGGUUCAUUCCCCAGCUGGACGCAAUGACCAGGGUUGGGCAAAGCGGAAGCCCAGAGGCAGGAGCUUCAUCCAGGUCUCCCACAUGGGUGUCAGGAACCCAUGCACUUAGGUCAUCUGCUGCUGCUUUUCCCCAGGCCAUUAGCAGGCAGCUGGAUUGGAAGUGGAGCAGCCAGGACAAGAACCAGUGCCCAUAUGGGAUGCUGGCAUCACAGGCAGCAGCUUUAUCUGCUAUGCCACAACACUGGUCCUUACCUUAAGCUUCUGUUAUUUCUUUAUGGUGAGCAUAUUCAAACCCUAGCCCCUUAAAGGAAAUUUUUUUAUAUAUUUACUUAUUGAGAGACAGAGCUUCUAUCUGCUGGUUCACUCCCCAAACGCCUGGGUCAACCCAGUGCUGGGAUCCAGGAACUCAGUCUAGGCCUCCCACUUGGGGGACAGGGAUUCAAAUACUUAAGCCAUCACCUGUUGCCCCCUAGGGUCUGCAUUAGAACUGGACUCAGGCACUCCGACCUGAGAUGCAAGCAUGAGAGAUGUUCUAACUGCUAUGCCAAAUGCCCGCCCCGGGGGUCUUCUGUGAGUGGACUCAUAGUCUUGGUCCGUUUGUGCCUUGCUUAUUCUCUGAGUAUAGUAGUCUCAGAGUUUUCUUGCCUUGCCAGAGUCAGUGAGCCCCAACAAGGCUGAGCUGUGUCUUGCAAACAUGGCUUCUUCACCGGGGUCCAGUGGAGGGGGCCGGUGGGGCCCCUGCGGCUGCAGGUUUCAGAGUUUUUAGGCGAAGGGGUCAGGGCGUCUCCAGGCUCAGACAUCUCCCGUGGUUGAGUGGAUAGGAUCAUCCUGGACCUGAGCUCCUUCCCAGUUUCACGAGCGGAUCCACAUGCACCAUUGGUGAGAGCCCGGGAGGUGGAGGGUGGGCCUGCCGACGCCCAUGUCCACUUCCCUGUCCGCUCUGAGUCGCACUGGACUCACAGCGGUCAUUUGGCGGGCUGGAUGAGCUUGUGCCGUGACCUUGUACGUCCCCCUCACUGGGGAGCGCGGCAGAUUCACCCUGUGGGCGUGUGCAGCCGGGCUCUGUGUGUGCCCAGAUCCUCGGCCUCGGAGUUGAAGACCCUGACUCAUCCGUGAACGUCAGCUUCCGAGAGUGGCCCACCCCACCCCCCACUUAAGACACGGGUGGGAAAUACCUCUGUCUGUGCUUGGAGCUGUGGCCCCUAUACCUGUACUUGACAGGUGUCUUUGGCUUAAAAUCCCCUUCAUGCCUCCAGGAGAGUGGGAGGGCGAGGCUGGUGAGCCCAGCUGCUCCCCACCUGCGUCCUAAGUUGCCUCAGGAUCUCUCCUUUGUCACCUUCUUUGCAGUUUGUUCAAAACAGUGAUGGAUUGAUUGCAUAUUACACAGAAUUUACCAUCUUAACCAUUUGUAAGUGGCCAAUUCAGUGGUGUUAAGUAUUCAGUGCUUUCUUUUUUUAAAAGAUUUAUUUAUUUAUUUAUUUAAAAGAUAGAGGCAGAGUUAGAGAGCGAGCGAGCGAGAGCUCCCAUCCCUGGUUCACUCUGCGAAUACCUGCAGCAGCUGGGAACUCCAUCUGGGCCUCUUGUGUGGCUGGCAGGGGCCUCAGUACCCCCUGGGUGCACUAGCCAGAAGCUAGAUGGGAAGCUGUGUAGCUAGGACACGAACCAGAUACUCCAGUAUGGGAUGCAGGUAUCCCAAGCAGCAGCUUAACCACUGCACAACACCCACCUCUCUGUGUGUGUGUGUGUGUAUAUGUGUGUGUUUAAAGUUUAUUUUAUUUAUUUGAAAGACAGAGUUAGAGGGAGAAGGGGGAGAGAGAGAGAGAGAUCUUUCAUCCACUGUUCACUCCCUAAAUGGCCACAAUGGCCAGAGCUGUGCCAGUCUGAAGCCAGGAGCCAGGAGUUUCUUCUGGGUCUUCCACAUGGGUGCUGGGGCCCGAGCACCUGGGCCAUCUUCUGCUGCUUUCCCAGGCGCAUUAGCAGGGAGCUGCAUCCCAAGUGGAACAGCCGGAACUUGAACCAGUACCCACAUGGGAUGCCGGCAGUGCAGGCUUAACUCAAGACACCACAGUGCCCGCCCCUCCUCUGUGUGUUUUAAGAGACAGAGUUGAUGGAAGAGCAAUGAUCUGUUCUUCAGGGGGUGUUUCCUCCUGAUGCACUGGGAGAGAAGAGGUGGUUCAGACUUCAGCUUUAACUAGGGGCCGAGGCACUUGGGGACCAGGUGGGACCAGGGCCAAGCAGGUGCCUCAUGUAACCAUGCUGUAGUGUGGAUCGGAGGCCCUGGGAGAGAUAGGUGCCAUGCUGUGGGGUGUAGGAGGGAAGUCUCCUGUCUGUCCUGUUUCCGGGGGGCAGAGGGUGUGCAGGGGAGGGUGUUCCAGGCAGAGGGACCAGGAUGGACAAGAGCUCACAGGCUGGGAGGCGUUCACCCUGCUCAGGAGACAGCAGGAGCGUUUGGUUGGAGGAUUGGUAUGAAAUGUGGGUUCAGGGGCAGUGAGGACUGGGUAGGAGGGUUUGGGUCAUACCACGUGGGACUCAGAAGUCAGGCUGAGUGAGGUGUACUUUUAAUGGCAAUAGGGAGCCACUGAAGGUUGUUGAGUGACAGAGGGGGUGGUGUCGCAGCUUUUGCCUUGGGAAGGUGAAUCUGGCAGUUGCGUGUGAGGUGGUCCAAGGGGAGUCAGGGGUCCGAGGAGGAGGAUGGCUGGAGAGAGAGGACCAGGAGGAUGAGCCGUCUGUGAGGAGGGGGUGAGGCUGGGCCUGGGCAUGGCUCGGCUGUGCUGCAGGGUCCCAGAGUGGGUUUUGGGGAAAGAGGGCUGAAGGCAAAGGGCAGGAAGGUGAGGCCCUCAGCAAGCCAGGUGCCCUGCAGGGCCACACGAGAGGGAGACGGAGCUGGCGGUGAGCUGGGAGUUGAUGCCGCACAAGGGAAGUGAGCACCCAGAGGUCACGGAGGAAGGGGCCGAGGCCGGCCGCGAGUGGGUGAAGAAGACAUGGGGGCUGCACCUGUGGACUGUUGUGGCCAGGAUUUGAGCAGCUGGCAGGAGAGGAGGAUGUGUGUGUGGUCAGCGGCUUAGGACUGGGGCCUGAGUGUUCCCAUGUGUCCACUGGUGGGGCCUCUGCUGUUCCAGGGGGCAGGGCUGCAGUGAGGGGCCACGUGCCUGUCGACACACCAAGGAGGUGACCAGUGCGACAGAGUCCCUCGAAGACAGGGAGGUGGUCAAGUGAGGGCUGGGGGCAGCUGAUUGAGGGGUCCUGUGGGGGAGGCGGCAGACCCUGGGGAGAGUGGCUGGGUUACCGCUGGACAGUGCUUGGAGCGGUGUGGCUCUUCAGGGGUCUGGUGCGGGAGCUGUCAGUGAGGUCGGAAAGCAGGUGUGGGAGUGGGGGUGGGACUGCCCUGUGGCUGGCAUGGCCAAGGCCAAGGCUACUGCGGCCAAGGGGGUUGAGAAGGUGGUUGUGGGCAGAUGGCCUCUAGCGUGGAGCAGAACGUGGUGCUGAGCUCUGCGCUGGGUGCUGUGGUAUUAUAGUGAGGGUCUGGGCUCAGGGCUACAUCCUGUGUUGAGUGGUAUCUCAUCCUGGAGCCGUAGCAUGGGCCCGCCCUCAUCUCCAAGCAGCUGGCCAGGGACUGUUGGCCCUGACGGAUAAAGGAUAUGAUGGACGUUAAGUGUGGUUCCCUCUCCCAUGGCUUACUCCGUGGCCAGAUGGUGGCAGCGACCGUGAUAGGCUCCUCUCUGUGGAGGAGCCAGCCGAAAGCAGUGCCUUGGUGACCUGGUUCCCCACACUAUGUGCCUCUGGCUUCCUGGCUCUUUAUAUUUUGUUUUGUGGUGUUUUUGUUUGUUUGUUUUUUAAUUUGAGAAACACAGGGAAACAGAGCUCUCCUUCUACUGGUUCACUCCCCUCAAAAGGCUGGGACUGGAUCGGGGCAAAGCAGAGAGGCGAGAACACAAUUCAGGGCUCCCAUGUGGGUAUCAGCAACUUAAGUACCCAAGCCGUCACUGCAGCCUCCCAGGAUCCACGUGAGCAGGAAGUGUGGAGCCUGGAGCCAGUCUCAAACCCAGGCGCUCUGACGUGGGUCUCAGGUGCCUUAAAUGCUACGCCAUAGGCCUGGCCUCUUCCCCAGCCCUGUGGCUGUUUGUUUGUUUAUCCUGCUACGUCUGCAGUCUCAGGUUCCAGAGACUCCGGCUAGGAACUUCCGCAAGGUUCAUGGGUUGCGACUUGGCCUGUCUGGGAGUGCUGCUUUGUUCUGGCUACUCCGGAAGCCCCGUGUCUGCUGCCGUGGGCUGGGCAGCUGAGCCCCCAAGGAAGCCAGCAAGGGGCCUGCUCCCAUCUUCUGGAGGUGGAAACCUUUCUAGUUGGCUUUUGGGGUGCGUGGGUGCUGGAACUGGCGCGCCCUGCCCAUUUGCCUGCAUGAGGGCAGAGGGGAAACAGAGAAUGGAUUUUCCUUUUCUUUUUCCUCCGUGAGCUCCUUCAAGCGAUGUGAAUUAGCGGCGUUGCUCCCGGGGGAGCAAGAGUCACUUGGCCUCUGUUGCAUUUUAAGUUCCGGCAGGACAGGGCGUGGCUGUAAACAGGGCCGUGGACAUCAAAGGCUGAAGCAGGGCUUCCUCAUGGGGAGUGUCCCAGACACCCAUGCCGGCCCCACACUCGGGCUCCCUCCCGGCGUGUGGCCCCGAGCAGGUGGCUCGGGACUUGUGUCCCGUCCUUUCCUGAGCCCCUUUCAGUUUGUAGCUGCCAGGGGGCCUUUUAUUUAUUUCUCUGUUUAUGUUCAUUUUAUUUGAAAGGGAUGCUCUGCUGAGAGAUUUCUCUUGGCUCACGUUCCAAAUGCCUGCAACAAGGCAGGCUGAAGUCGGAAGCCUGGAGCUCCAUCCGGGUCUGCCACAUGGAUGGCAGGGACUCAGGUGCUUCAGCCGUCACGUGCUGCCUCCCCGGAAGCUGAUGGGGAAGUGGGGUAGCCAGCACUUGAACCAGGCAUCCCAUGUUGCGACCUGAGCUGCUGUGACAGAUGAGGCAGAGAGAGAGAGAGAGAGAGAGAGAGAGAGAGAGAGAGGUCUUCCAUCUGAUGAUUCACUCCUCAGUUGGCUGCAAUGGCUGGAGCUGGGCCAAUCAGAACCCAGGAGCCAGGAGCUUCUUCCUGGUCUCCCGUGUGGGUGCAGGGGCCCAGGCACUUAGGCCAUCUUCUACUGCUUUCCCAGGCCACAGCAGAGAGAUGGAUAGAAAACAGAGCAGUGGGGUCUCGAACUUGCACCCCUAUGGGAUGCCGGCUGCAGAUUUACCCCUUACGCCACGACUCCAGCCCCUCUGCUUUGCUUUCUUAAUGUCUGAGUUUCUGGGCAUGGGGUCCGCAGGAUCCACACUGCUCAGAGUCUCGCGAGGCUGCAGUCAGGAUAUCAGCUGGGGCUGUGUUCCAUCUGAGUGUGUGGUCCUCUCCCAGGCUCCUUCAGGUUGCUGGCAGAGUCCCAGUUCCCGGGGGUUGUAGGACUAAGGUCCCCAUUGUCUUGCUGGCUGUCAGCUGCCCCCCUCCCACCUUCCGGUUCUGGAGUCAGGCCCUCUGCAUAGGCAGUUGCACAGGGCUGUUGGCAUUUCUCCUCCCAGGAAGGGGUCUUUGAAAGGCUCCAUGGGUGAUGGUGCUCCGUGGCCAGGGUUCCAACCCCUCAGCUUCUGGAAUCUGCAGACACUGGCCAUGACUUUGAGGGGGGCUGGCAAAGAGGAGCAAGUGGAUUUCUUUGGGGUCACAUCUGGGAGGCCAGAGUGUCAUUAAUGGCUCAAAGCUUCCGGGAGACAGGUUUCUGCUCAGUGUUAAAGAGAAUUUAAUUUUCUUUCUUCCUGCCUUCAUACUUAGUCAUGUCAAAUUAUUUUACAGAGCUGAGAUCUUGCUGGGGAGUUGGGUGUCUUGCCUUUGUCGAUUAAUGUGAGCAUUUUCUUGUGCUGGUAAAUGUUUUGUAAACAUUUAUUUAUUUUAGAUUUUUUUUUAUUUGAUAGGCAGAGUUAGGGGGAGAGAGAGAGAGCUAUCUUCCACCCCCUGGUUCACUCCCCAGUUGGCCACAAUGGCUGGGGCUGGGCCAGGCUGGAGCCAGGAGCUUCAUUCGGGUUUCCCACUUGGGUAGCAGGGACCCAUGCACUUGUGCCAUCUUUUGCUACUUUCUGACAUGCAUUAGCAAAGGAGCUGGGUCAGAAGUGGAGCACUCUGGACUUGAACCCAGAGCCCAUAUGGGAUGCAAGUGGUGGCUUAACCAACUAUGCCACAAUGCCAGCCCCUGUAAACAUUGUUUUUAAAGGACCACGUUAUUGCUCUAUGGGGCCAGUGCUCUGGCAUAGCGAGUGAAGCCGCUGCCUGCAGUGCUGGCAUCCUAUAUGGGCGCUGGUUCGGGUCCCGGCUGCUCCACUUCUGAUCCAGUUUUCUGCUGUGGCCUGGGAAAGCAGUAGAAGAUGGCCCAAGUCCUUGGGCCCCUGCACCCACGUAGGAGACCCGGAGGAAGUUCCUGGCUUCUAGCUUCGGAUCAGCACAGCUCUGGCCGUUGUAGCCAACUGGAGAGUGAACCAGUGGGUGGAAGACCUCUCUGUCUCUCUCUGCCUCUCCUCUCUCUGUGUAAUUCUUGACUUUCAAAUAAAUAAUAAAUCUUAAAAAAAAAAAAAAAGACUGCAUUAUUUCUUUGUAACAGAGCUAUGGUUUCAAGAGUUUUGUUGGACAUUCAGAGCCCUUGCUGUAUGUUGUUGGAUAUUACAAUGAUUCAGUCAGCAUCUUUUUUUGGUUAACAGCUUCCUCCAGUUCUAACUCACAUAGCAUACAAUUUGCCUGUUUAAAGUGUGUAAUCCAGCAGUUCCUGGUUUAUUACAUUAUGAUAUUUUUUAGGAUUUAUUUAUUUAUUUGAAAGUCAGAGCUACACAGAGAAGGAGGCAGAGAGAGAGAGAGAGAGAGAGAGAGAGAGAGAGAGGUCCUCCAUCCACUGGUUCACUCCCCAGUUGGCUACAACAGCUGGAGCUGUGCCAAUCCACAGGCAGGAGCCAGGAGCCUCCUCCAGGUCUCCCGUGCAGGUGCAGGGGCCCAAGGACCUGGGCCAUCCUCCACUGCCUUCCCAGGCCGCAGCUGAGAGCUGGCGCUCAUAAGGGAUGCCGGCAUCCCGAGUGGCAGCUUUACCUCUGCUGCACUACGAUGCCAGCCCCUCCUGAAUUAUUAAGUGUGAUAAAAUAUACAUGACAAACAGUUUCCCAUUGUGGCCAUUUUCUAGUCUACAUCCUGGGUAUCAAUAAGCCCAUCCCAUUGGUGGGCAGCCACCCUCUCCCUUUUCCAGAACUUUCCAGCGUUGUAGCUGAUGGCUUAACACACUGCACCACGACACCAACUCUGUCUCAACCGUUUUUAAGUGAACAGUUCAGGCAGUGAGCAUCUUCCCGUACGGGCUUCUGUUCAGAUUUCUGAUUGUGCCCAGACAGGGCUGGCAUCUCUCAGUUUGUUUCCUGAGUCACUGCUGCCCAGGGCCCAUCCAGAGGUGCUGCUUGAGUUUAUCCUUGAUUUCCAGAUUAAUUUUCCCUUACUGUGAUGUCUCCCUUGCCUUUGUUUUUUUUUUUUUUCUUGCAGGAUUUUAAUUUUAUUUUAAGAUUUUUGGCCGGCGCCGCGGCUCGAUAGGCUAAUCCUCCGCCUUGCAGCGCCGGCACACCAGGUUCUAGUCCCGGUCGGGGCGCCGGAUUCUGUCCCGGUUGCCCCUCUUCCAGGCCAGCUCUCUGCUGUGGCCAGGGAGUGCAGUGGAGGAUGGCCCAGGUACUUGGGCCCUGCACCCCAUGGGGGACCAGGAAAAGCACCUGGCUCCUGGCUCCUGCCAUCGGAUCAGCACGGUGCGCCAGCCACAGCGCACCGGCCGCGGCAGCCAUUGGAGGGUGAACCAACGGUAAAGGAAGACCUUUCUCUCUGUCUCUCUCUCUCUCUCUCUCACUGUCCACUCUGCCUGUCAAAAAAAAAAAAAAUAAAAUAAAUAAAAUUAAAAAAAAUAUUUUUUAUUUGAAAGGCACAGUUAGAGAGAAACAGAUACAGAGACAGAGAGAGAUUGUCUGUCCUCUGGUUCACUCCCCAAAUGCCCGCAACAGCCAGCCAGGGCUAGACAGGCUGAAAGCAGCCGCCUGGAGCUUCGUCCGGGUCUCCCACGUGGGCGGCAGGGGCCCCAGUACUUGGGCCAUCCUCUGCUGCUUUCUUUCCGAGGCGCAUGGCCAGGAAGCUGGAUCAGAAGAGGAACAGUGGGAUCUCGCAGCCGUGCUCUUUUGGGAUGCUGGCAUCGCAGGCAGCUGCCUAACCUGCUGUGCCCCAGCACUGGCACUGCAGGAUUUUAUUAAAACACUUCUGUCCGGUGACAAGAAGGCCAAGUGGAUGGGGCCUCACCUUCCAGAAUUUCAAAGUCAUGGUAUGGGGUUUUCAGCCAACGAAACAGAAUUUGAGGUUAAGGUAUCUUUCGGUCAGGGCCGUCUGUCCUUGGCUGGGCCCCACCUGAUUUCCUUGGUGACCUACAAAAACAGCCAGUCCUGGAUUGGGAACCUCCCUAGGCUGAGGUCUCGCUGUGGCCAGUGGCUAGGGGACACUUAGUUCUUUAUCAGCUCCGUGGCCUUUGAGAGUGAAAGAACCCCAUGAUCCUCUUGUUUAUCGGGAAACCCGUCAGUUUCUUGCUGCCCUGGACGGCUUGAAACUGGAUCUGAAAAAGCCUCUUGGUUUACUUGCUGUGUGUGCAUCCUGCCCUUGGGGUCAGGUCUGCUCAGUAGGGUUGUCCAGGGAGUCCUGGCUCAUGGAGUUCCAGCUGGAUUUUCCCUAAAGCUCCAAGGGAGCAGAAGGCCAGGGUGGAGAAGGGCUUUCCCAGAGGGAGAGGGGCUGGCGUGGGGCUCUGUGGCUGCAGGUGGCUGGCAGAGGUGGACCAGGGCGCCGGUCAGCCCAGACGCCGCCCCGUGCAUGUUGACUUCAAGCAGGGAUGGACUGUCGGUCGGGUGUCGGAGCGUAGCCAGGGGAGAGCAGCCCGGAAUCCCGGGCGUGGAUGGCGGGGAGAGGAGAAGGAAGGGCGCAGGUUUGCAGCCUGGACCAGCCCCGCCUGCAGUGGGAGUCACACUUUCUUGUCUUUGGGAGUGCCUUAAAGAGGCGGGACUACUGCUUCUCGGGCUCAGCAGUACUGGCUGUCACUCAAACUCCUCGGGCCUCUGGGUUCCUGUCUGUCGGUGAGGAAGCUGAGCGUCUGCGUCUUGGAGCUGCCUUUAAAUUAUUUGUGAUCCCGACUAGAAGUGAGGAGUCCUGUGGCUCUGAGUUCCCAGCAGGUUACUUGGAGCCCUCCCCCCCCCCCCCCCCGCAGGUGCCCCAGAGCUUCCUGUUGUGGUGCAGGUCUGCAGAGCCCAAGGUGGGGGAGGGGCAGCUCGUGCCUAUUGCCUGAUCGGCCACCGUCUUCUCAAACUGCCCAGCAGCCAGUCUGAGGGCUAGGACGGGUGUCUGCAGCCGAGUGUGGGCAGCAGCAGGAGGCCCAGUCAGCAGCAUGGGAGGGGGUGGAGGCCCCUUGUGGGUGUCUGCCAGGGUGCAGGUGAUGGCGUCCAAGCAGGUGGCUGGCAGUGGGAGGCCUGGUAGUGCCAGCUGGGGCCUUGCCAGUCACAGGACAGCCCUGCGUGGCUGGGAUGCUGUGCUGAGGCCAGCACUGAGAUGAGCAGGGCUCGGCUGCCCGGCUGCCCGGUGUUUCCAUGCCUUGGGUGCUCUGAGGCCGCUGUUUACUGCCGUCACAGAUGAUGACCCAGCCCCUCCGACAGCCUGCUGGCCUCAGCACCGGCCCCACCUGGGAUCAGAAUCCAGGCCUCGCUUCCUGCAGAGGAAGCUGCCCGUCUGGUCCCCGUUACGCUUCUCUGAGUGUUCUCAGUGCCAGCUGGAGAGCCGGCGAGGCCUUGGGAGGGCCUGGUCAGUCAGGAGGAGGACAGGAAGGGGGCAGGCUGAAUGCCGGUGCUCUGUGGGGUGCGCGUGCCUCCAUGGAAGCCCGUCCUUCCCUCCAGAAUGUUCUGUGGGACAGGCUUGGCUUGAGGUGCACUUGACCUCCCGGAACCCCUCUGUCUGAAUUCGCCUGUGUUCCUUCUUCUGACAGUCCUGUGGGGGGGGGGGGGGGGGGGUGGAGAGGAGAGGAGAGGGAGGGCCCAGCCUUUCCUGGAAUGUUGCACUUGAAUGUGGCUCUCUGCUGCUGAUGGGCCCCAUCUCCUCCACUCCCUGCAGGGAGCAUUGUGGCUGCAGCUCUCUUAGGAAGCGUUAAGAAGCCCCCACGAUAGAAGCUGGAUUUGAAUGGGGGUUGGGGAGGUUUUAUUUGAGUCUCUGCUCUUGGCUGUACAGUGUCGGGAUUGGCCGCAUUUUCUUAAAGGGCCAGUCAGUAGCUAAUUUCGUCUUGGUGGCCAAGAGGCAGGGUCCAGGCUGCUGUGUGGGAACAGUUGUCCCUCGGUAUCCAUGGCCGACUGGUUCAAGGACCCUCCUUGGGUAGUGCUGACGUAGUAUUUGCAUGUAAGUAUACACAUCCUCCCGUAUGCUUCAGGUCAUCUGUAGGUUACUUAUAAGACCUAAAGCAGUGUCAGUGCUAUGUAAAUGCCCAUCAUACUGUGUGGUUUAGGGAAUAAUGGGAAGAAAAAAAAGCCCAUACGUGUCCAGUAGGGAUCUCGAGUAUUCUCCAUCUGUGGUUGUUCCCUCUGUGGACGUGGAGCCCACGGUCCCACGAGAGCAGGUGGCAGUGGGCUGGAGCUUGCCGACCCGUGUCCCGCAGCGAGCCGCCUCCUGAGUGAUUGUGCAAGAGGGGACAGUGCCGUGAGUGGGUGUCCCCAUCUGUCUGGGAGCCUGACAGGCUUCUCCCUGGAACCUGUGGGGCAGGUGGGGUCGGUCUUCCUUGUCCCCGGGAGGACUCUUUCCUCAAGCAAGUGGCUGGAGGUGGAGAAGCCGGGGUGGGGGUGGCACCUGCUCUCCCACUCCUCCUCCUCCUCCCCCUUUUCUCCUGCUGCAUCACGGUGAUGAAUAUUCAGGCCCUGGAACAAGGCUGGCCACUGGUUAAUCUUGGAAGCACGGGUGGCCGUUUGGCCUGGCGGUUUGAGUGCUGGUUAAGAUGCCUGUGUCUCAUAUUGCAGUGCCCCAGCGUGAUCCCUGGCUGCAGCUCCUGACUCCAGGUUCCCACCAGUGCAGACCGGAGGCAGCAGUAACGGCUCAAGUCUUUGGCUGUGAUGCCAGGGUCCACAGCACGCAUACACACACUUAGGACUGUGGGAAAGCAUGGUUGGGGCUUUUUGUUUGUUUUAUUUAAUUGUGUUAAAAUAUACUUAGCAUAAAACUUAACCAUCUUGACCAUUAUUUUAUUAAAAAAAAAGACUUAUUUAUUUAUUUGAAAGUCAGAGUUACACAAGAGAGAAGGAGAGGCAGAGAGAGAGAGAGAGGUAUUUCAUCCGCUGUUUCACUCCCCAGAUGGCCUCAAUGGUCAGAGCUGUGCCGAUACGAAGCCAGGAGCUUCCUCCGGGUAUCCCAUGUGGGUGCAGGUGCCCAAGGACUUGGGCCAUCUUCCACUGUUUCUCCAGGCCAUAGCAGGGAGCUGGAUCGUAAGUGGAGCAGCUGGGACACAAACUGGCGCCUAUAUGGGACGCCAGCGCUGCAGAUGGCGGCUUUACCCACUGUGCCGCAGCACCGGCUCCUUGACCAUUUUUAAAUACACAGCUCAGUGUGGAGACGUUCUUGUGGUGCACAGUCGUCUCUGCCGUCUGUGUCCAGAGCUCUUCCAUCUCGCAGAGCUGAAACUCUGGACCCGUUUGACGCUGACUCCCCAUUCCCCUGCCCCUCAGCCCCUGGAAACCACCUUCGUGCAGAGCCUUAAACUGGGGACACCCACACCACGUAUCCAGGUGCCAGUUCAAGUUCUGGCCACUUCGCUUCUGAUCCAGCUCCCUAAUCACAGUACCCGAUGGUCAUCCAUGCCCCAGGAGCACCCAUCCCCGUGGGCCCCGGGUGGCCACUGACAUGCUUUCUCUCCCAUGGGUCUGUCUUUUCCUGGACAUUACAUAAAUGGAAGCGUCCGGCUCGUAGCCUUUUGGAUCCUUCUUCCUUCACAUAGAUCACGCACUUAAUGUUCCAAGCUGUUGGGCGUACCGCUCGCUCGUUCUUCUUCAUAGUAACCAGGGAGUCCUGUGUCCCAGGGAUGGGUCAGUGCUGUCCUCUCCCUGACUGCUCCGUUCUGACCUCUGUCUGGAGCCAUGACUUGACAUUGCUGUGUAGUUCACCCAUUUGAAGUGCACCGCUUAGCGGCUUCUAGCGUGGUCACAGUUGUGCGACUAUCACCGAUCUCCGAUUCUAGAACAUUGUCAUCACCCCCAAAAGAAAAUCCACGCUCACUCGUGGUCUCUCCCCAUUCGCUUCUCCUCCUCACUGCUGGCACUCACCAGUGUGCUUUUUUUCCAUCAUGCACGUGGCGUCCUUUGGCCCCUGCCUUCCAGUGGCCCCGGUCCUCAGUUCCCCCUUGAGCCUGGGCCCAAGUUGUCCCUGGAACCACUGUGGCGUCUGGUUUUUGCCCAGGAGCCCAGGGCCGCAGCAGACAGCACUCCAGCUUUCCAGAAACCUGUUAUAGUUGUUGCUGUGUGGAUGCAGAAAACCUAGAGGCCCUGGACUUCGCCCCCGCUGGGCUCUGGGAGGCCUGGGCUGGCCUCUGUUUCAGCCUAUCCAGGGGAGAGAAUGCCGGCAGCUUCUAGAAUGGCACAGCCGGCCAGACCUCCAUGCGUGUGCCCGCUGUGAGCAUUGCUCCGUGUAUCUCAGCAUGCGUGACCUCCGUGGACAGCCCGCUCUUGUACUGGCAGAGAGGGUGCCUAUGACUGGCACUGGGCUUGUUCGCCCCGUUGGAGAGGGAAAUAGAUGCACCUGCUCUCUGGCCAAGAGCUAUGGCAGCUGGAAGCUGCUCGCCCUGUUCCCAGUAUUACCCGGGCCAGGGGAUGAAUUAUUUGGUCAUAAAUCAAUGUCUUGUCUGCAGAGGACUUGGAGACGCUAGGGCCCAGCUGGCUUUUCUCUCCGCCGCUGGGACACUGCCGAUCUCACAGCAGGGCGAGGACAGGCAGUGCCACGAACGCUGUCUGAUUUGGGCAGCUUUGGGGCUUCCCCCACAGCAUGCCGUCCUGGGGAGGGCCCACCAGAACCUUCCUUAUCUGGUUCUGUCCUCCUGGCUGUCCCCUGGCACUGUCUCCGAGAGGACGCAGCUGACCCCUCUGCUUUGCCGAGCAGCCUGCGUCCUCCUGUGGACACUCGCAGUCCCGGACACGGCCAUCAGCGCUGGGAACGUCAGGGUUCAGCCUGCCAGAGUGGGUGCUGGCCAAGCAGUGCUGACUCAUGUUCCUAAGCCGGGGGGACCUGAGUGUAGAGGAGGCGGAGGCUGGGCCGAGAGGCAGAGAGCUCCCUCCUUGUGGGACGUUUGGGCCCAGGUCCCUCCUAGGAAGGCAGAGCCGGGCCCCAGCCUGCACUCCGCACAUUGUAUUCCUCCCACGACUCCCCCCAGGACGAGGUCCGCCUAUCAGUGGAUGCACCAGGAUGAGGGAAGGCAGCACUUCCAGUUACAGCCCCACGGUGAAUGAGGUGGAGACUCCGGGGAAAAUGCGUGCCUGAGGGUGGGUGGGAUGACCAAGCGGUCCCCAGUCAGGGAUGUGCCCUGCAGAUCACUGCGCAUGGCCGCUGGUGCACAGAGAGCGCGCAGUAGCACCGUUAUCCCCAGUGCUGUUAUCUUAGGCGCUGUUACGACAGACGGUGGGAGAGGAUGCUGACCGCUGCAUCGGCUGGCUGCGUGUUUGGGUUUACUUUUGUAUUUUUUUGUUUUGAAGAAGCCACAGUGGAAGAAGAGAAGCUGCCUUUUUCCAUCUGAAUUGGAAAAGUCCACGGUGCCCAUUUCCAAAAACAGGGACUUUGUUUUUGAACACUUUUUUUGUUCAUUUGCUUCAAGAUUUAUGUUUGUUUCUUUGAAAGAGAUACAGAGAGAGUGACAGAAAGAGAGGUCUUCCAUCUGCUGGUUUACUCCCUAAAUGGCUGCGAUGGCUGGGGCUGGGCCAGGCUGAAGCCAGGAGCCAGGAACUCUAUGUGGGUUUCGCCUGUGCAUGGCAGAGGCCCAAGCUCUUGGGCCAUCUUCUGCUUUGCCAGGCACAUUAGAAGAGAGCUGGAUUGGAAGUGGAACGGCUGGGACUUGAACCAGUGCUCUUGAGAUGAGACGCUGGUGUCACAAGCAGAGGCUUAACCUGCAGCACCCACCCCACGCCUUCACUUUUCAGUAAACUUUUACCGACAGAGACACUAAGUGCAUUGACAGUGUCCUGUUACUGUCGCCACCACUGUAUCCAUCAGGUUUGCUUGGGUACAACACGAAAGACCUGAGACAUGUUACAGUACGGAGAAGAGAGAGGUUUGUUAUUUAGCGCGCGGUGUUGGAGGUCGGAGAUCGUUGGUGUGUUGUCUGUCGAGGGCAACAGGUGGAAGUGGUGAGGGAGUGGGGAGGAGGCUGAGCCCCAUCAGGCCUUGCAGCCGGCCCUCCCCUGAAAGCCACCUUCCAGGUCACACACGCAGUGCCCUGGGGACCUCUCCUGGGGGGCCACCUGCCGCACACCCCAUCUGGACGAAGCUUCCACCAUUUCGGCUCCUUAAACUUACAGCUUAGGAAGAGGUUUAAAAGCCUACACAGGUCCGGGAGCCACAGCAGCCACCAUCCGGCUCCAGAACAUUUGUCAUCUUCCCAAACUCCGGUUCGUUAAACAGUACUCCCCACUUCCUCCUCCCCCAGGCUCUGUUUGCUUUCUGUCUCUGUGGAUCUGACAGCUCCAGGCCCUUCAAGCCCUGCCCUUUUGUGUCUUGCCAAGCAAUGGAGCACAGGUUUGAAUUCCCUUCCGUUUGCCAGGCUUUUUGAGGUGGACACCUGAGGCCCGUUUGCACCUUUGGCUACCGUGCAGAGAGCACGGCUGUGAGCAGGGCUGGGGGUGUUUUUACUCCUGAGCCCGGGCAAACAGGCCCCUCCUGCAUGAGUGCCCACAGGCAUCGCUUAGGGAACCACGCACUUAAUAGCCACGGUGAGCACAGCUCUCUGGAAUGUAGCAGGUCACGGAUACAGAAGGCGGGAGUUCUUGGAAAGGUGGGGUUCUGGCUGCAAGCUCCACCCCUGUUUUCUGGCACCUUCUGUGCCAGGGAAACUUGAGUCAGCCUUUCCUGGGUAGUGCAGGCCUCAGCCCUGGUUCAGGAGAGCUGGGGGAGGGGUUCUGUGUGACUCCCGUCUGCUGAUAGGGUGGCUACAAACCUGGGGUCCCUGGGCAAGUCAUUGAUGAAUCCAGAGUAGAGGAUGGAGGAUGGGCACUGCACUUGUUCAUUAGACUUUUUAAUUUAAGAUUUAUUGGGGCUGGCACUGUGGCACCGGCAUCCCAUAUGGGCGCCAGUUCUAAUCCUGGCUGCUCCUCUUCCAGUCCAGCUCUCUGCUAUGGCCUGAGAAAGCAGUGGAACAUGGCCAAGGUCCUUGGGCCCCUGCACCCGCAUGGGAGACUGGGAAGAAGCUCCUGGCUCCUGGCUUUGGAUUGGCGCAGCUCCAGUCGUUGUGGCCAUUUGGGGAGUGAACCAAUGGAUGGAAGACCUUUCUCUCUGUCUCCCCUUCUCACUGUUUGUAACUCCACCUCUCAAAUAAAUAAAUAAAAUAUUUAAAAAAAAAUUUAAGAUUUAUUUGCCCCUCUUCCAGGCCAGCUCUCUGCUAUGGCCCGGGAGUGCAGUGGAGGAUGGCCCAAGUGCUUGGGCCCUGCACCCACAUGGGAGACCAGGAGAAGCACCUGGCUCCUGCCUUCGGAUCAGUGCGGUGCGCCGGCCACAGUGCACCGGCUGCGGCGGCCAUUAGAGGGUGAACCAACGGCAAAGGAAGACCUUUCUCUCUGUCUCUCUCUCUCUCUCACUAUCCACUCUGCCUGUCAAAAAAAUAAAUUAAUUAAAAAAAAAAAAAAAGAAAGAAAGAAAA